GGCUCCAUAGUGUAGUGGUUAGCACAUCUGCCUUACAUGCAGAAGGCCCUGGGUUCGCGCCCCAGUGGAGCUA
This 73-nucleotide transfer RNA is filed under the name Pteropus alecto (black flying fox). It matches the Rfam family "tRNA". From Rfam's summary of the family: Transfer RNA (tRNA) molecules are approximately 80 nucleotides in length. Their secondary structure includes four short double-helical elements and three loops (D, anti-codon, and T loops). Further hydrogen bonds mediate the characteristic L-shaped molecular structure. tRNAs have two regions of fundamental functional importance: the anti-codon, which is responsible for specific mRNA codon recognition, and the 3' end, to which the tRNAs corresponding amino acid is attached (by aminoacyl-tRNA synthetases). tRNAs cope with the degeneracy of the genetic code in two manners: having more than one tRNA (with a specific anti-codon) for a particular amino acid; and 'wobble' base-pairing, i.e. permitting non-standard base-pairing at the 3rd anti-codon position. The record is from Rfam by way of RNAcentral. RNAcentral also lists the same sequence under 1 other name. Lineage: Eukaryota; Metazoa; Chordata; Mammalia; Chiroptera; Pteropodidae.